This 338-nucleotide ribosomal RNA is filed under the name uncultured bacterium. RNAcentral describes it as "bacterial SSU rRNA". It matches the Rfam family "Bacterial small subunit ribosomal RNA", at positions 18 to 344 of the family's 1533-position model. The record is from RNAcentral.
CCUGGCUCAGGACGAACGCUGGCGGCGUGACUAAUACAUGCAAGUCGAACGAGAGCGACCGGUGCUUGCAAUGGGCAAUCUAGUGGCGAACGGGUGAGUAACACGUGGGUAACAUGCCCAUCAGAGGGGGAUAACAUUCGGAAACGGAUGCUAAAACCGCAUAGGUCCUUUAAUCGCAUAGUGGAAGGAGGAAAAGAGGCGCAAGCUUCUGCUGAUGGAUGGACCCGCGUUGCAUUAGCUAGUUGGUGAGGUAACGGCUCACCAAGGCCGUGAUGCAUAGCCGACCUGAGAGGGUGAUCGGCCACAUUGGGACUGAGACACGGCCCAAACUCCUACGG